This 498-nucleotide ribosomal RNA is filed under the name uncultured bacterium. Its description in RNAcentral is "partial 16S ribosomal RNA". It matches the Rfam family "Bacterial small subunit ribosomal RNA", at positions 28 to 523 of the family's 1533-position model. The record is from RNAcentral.
GAUGAACGCUAGCGGCAGGCCUAAUACAUGCAAGUCGAACGAUAGAAGAGGGCUUGCUCUCUUCGAAAGUGGCGCACGGGUGCGUAACGCGUAUGCAACCUACCUUAAUCAGGGGGAUAGCCCGAAGAAAUUCGGAUUAACACCGCAUAAAAUCACAGUACAGCAUUGUACAAUGAUCAAAUAUUUAUAGGAUUAAGAUGGGCAUGCGUGACAUUAGCUAGUUGGCGGGGUAACGGCCAACCAAGGCGACGAUGUCUAGGGGAUCUGAGAGGAUGACCCACCACACUGGUACUCAGCCACCGACCAUACUCCCACCAGAGGCAGCAGUAAGGAAUAUUGGUCAAUGCAGGCACCUCUGAACCAGCCAUGCCGCGUGCAGGAAGACGGCCCUAUGGGUUGUAAACUGCUUUUAUUCGGGAAUAAACCUCAUUAUGUAUAGUGAGCUGAAUGUACCGAAGGAAUAAGGAUCGGCUAACUCCGUGCCAGCCGCCGCCGUAA